UCUUAAGUUGCCCAGCAAACUAACCAACCCACUUUCUCCAGUCUUCUGUCAAGAUGAUUGUAGGUGUGGAAGAGAUGUCAUUGGAAGCUAAAGCAUUGGGACACUCUGGAAUUGCCGGAGCAGUGCCUCUCUCAUUCCGUCGCUCUUUUUCUUCAUUCCCCACUCGUUUGUCGUUCCACACUGCCGUUCCUCCCCAAACCCGCCGAUUCCAAUCCUUGGCGGUUAUUAAGAGAAGUCCUAAACGCCUCAAAUACUCGGCUCCUCGCUUAACUAAGAUGGAUUGCUCUAUGUUCAAGUUGAUCAAUUUGGCUCGGAUUCUUGGAAGUUGGAUCCAGUUGUUGAACUUCUUAAAGGAGGAGCUGUUGGAGUCAUUCCCACUGACACUCUGUAUGCAAUAGUUUGUGAUCUGAG
This 411-nucleotide unclassified non-coding RNA is filed under the name Hevea brasiliensis (rubber tree). Lineage: Eukaryota; Viridiplantae; Streptophyta; Magnoliopsida; Malpighiales; Euphorbiaceae. The record is from RNAcentral.